GACGAACGCUGGCGGCGUGCUUAACACAUGCAAGUCGAACGGAAAGGCCUCUUUCGGGGGGUACUCGAGUGGCGAACGGGUGAGUAACACGUGAGUAACCUGCCCUUGACUUUGGGAUAACUUCAGGAAACUGGGGCUAAUACCGGAUAGGAGCUCCUGCUGCAUGGUGGGGGUUGGAAAGUUUCGGCGGUUGGGGAUGGACUCGCGGCUUAUCAGCUUGUUGGUGGGGUAGUGGCUUACCAAGGCUUUGACGGGUAGCCGGCCUGAGAGGGUGACCGGCCACAUUGGGACUGGGAUACGGCCCAGACUCCUACGGGAGGCAGCAGUGGGGAAUAUUGCACAAUGGGUGGAAGCCUGAUGCAGCAGCGCCGUGUGCGGGAUGACGGCCUUCGGGUUGUAAACCGCUUUCGCUCAUGACGAAGCUUUGUGUGACGGUAGUGGGUAAAGAAGCACCGGCUAACUACGUG
RNAcentral lists this ribosomal RNA (467 nucleotides) under uncultured bacterium. RNAcentral describes it as "partial 16S ribosomal RNA". It matches the Rfam family "Bacterial small subunit ribosomal RNA", at positions 28 to 507 of the family's 1533-position model. The record is from RNAcentral.